GAGUCGGUUUCAAAAACAGCCGCUCAUUGGAGAGAAGCCGCUAUUUGCUCUUUCUUUCCCUCAUCCAUCACCGUCUCUGCACCUCCCCAAAGUUUCUACGCUCUGCUAGCUCCUCUGCUUCUUCUGCUCCCUCUGCUCUGCCAGAUCAGCGUAGCGACACGAGCAUUCUCCACCAUGCCCGCCGCAAGUUCUUCUUCUCCUUCUUCCUUUAUUUCUUUAUUUGGAUUGUGGUUUAUUUUUCUUCUUUUUUUUCUGCUAGGUUUUCACCUGUUUACAAAGGGGCUCUUCUGUCCUUCUGCUUUGCACCUUCACUUCUGGUUUUCUCUUCAUGGUUUUUUUUUUGGUUCUGAUUUUUUGCUCACUCUGCUCUUAGUUUUUUCUACUAAUUAAAUUGAUUGUUUUGAUUUAUGGAAAAAGAAGAGAAAGCUCAAUAGAGAAUCUUUUUAGUAUAUUCCAUUCAAUAUCAGAAUAUCUAAACCAAGUUGUAAAUUGCAGUGUGACAAUAAUUUUUAUAAAUAUUUCUAUAAAUUUGUCAUAAUCAAGUGAUAAUACCCUUUGAGUUUGGAAAUGGGAGCUUAGAAGAUAGGUCAUGAAUCUAGGUCGAUAUUGAGACUAUUACGCCUACUCAUGUUUUUAAUGUUGAUGAUUUCACUAGUGCAUUUAAUUUGAAGUGGUUUGAGGCUAACAAAACAGAAUCUAUUGGUGUUGAUGUUGUUGGUGUGCUAACAUUGGCAAAUGCUUGCAAGGACCAUAGCCUCCCCAUGUGAAUUAUGCCUUUAGUGACAAUUUUAAACAUAAACCAAAUUCUAAUGAUUCUUUCUACUCUAAAACCCAAGUCAAGGCCAGUUCCAAAAAGUAAAGUAUACAAUCUUGGUUAGAUGAUUAGAUGUCCGAUGUAUUUGGUGCAUCAGGACUUGAUUGAUUUUUAUAAUCAGUAUAUAUUGUGAGUGAAUUUGUCUUUGACCCUUUUAAAAUUUUUGUGUUAGGUUGAAGAGCUUCUAAAGGAUUAUGAUUUAUGAAAAUGUAUGAACCCUCAAAAUUUAAUUUCCAAUAUCCUCUGAACUUAGCAAUUCACACAACUUUAUCACUAAGAUGACAAGAUCAGAUAAAGUGGCUAAAGUAUCAUUAUAUCUUGCCUAUCAAAACAAAGAGGGUCACUAGAGUUGAGUUGAACAAGAGACUCAGGCACAAAGAACAACAGAAAAAAGAAGCAGAAGCUAAGAAGUUGGAGGACUUGUCGAAAGAAAUUGACAGCAUACCUGAAAUUACGGAGGAAAUCAAGCAAGAAGAUGAGGAAAAGCAGAAGAAUAUGCUAAGAUAGGUUAAAGGCACGGCCACCACGCUUAGGAAAGCACAAGUAAGUAGGCUUUCUAUUUAUUUUAAUUUGCCAUCAAAAUCUUAGUUAUUCGAAUGAGAGAACAUGCUAAGAGUACUUCAGUGGUUUUGACCUAACACAUAUUAUUCCAUACACAAUUCUUUGUGAGUGUAUAUUUAUCACAAUUCGUUAAUAAGUUUGAGCCUGCUCCCCUUCAAGUUCUCCUAGUCGACGGAAUAAAUGGAUCCAUCCAGAAGCUUAAGGUAAGCUUGUAAAAAUUCUCUUGCUUACCUUUUGUUAUCUGUUUUCUGAGUUUUUAAAACAUCCAAGUAACUUUUCAAUUUCCAUGACAUAUAUGUUGGGUUGUUGUACCCUUAUAAAGGAUCGAUAUAAAAGUUUAGAGAAGAGAGGAUUGAUUGUUCCAACAUCCAAAACAUGCAAGAGGAAGUAGUUUACUGCUCUAACAUUAUAUGAAACAUGUCAUCAUCAAAUCAUUUUUGCAUAUAGUUCAUACAUCUAUAUUUUAACCGUUUGAUAUGACACAUUUAAAAUUUGUAUGACAUUGUGUUUGUGGCUUUGGCAGGAAGUAGAGUCCUCUUGAUUGUUGGUUCCAUAACCAAGCAUUGACGCCAGAGAUGAAAGACCAAUACAAUUUUAUCUAAAUCAAGAUUUUGUUUUCUUGUGUUUGUUUCAUUUAUACUCCUAGCUAGUCACAUGUUCAGUGAGCAUUACACACUCCUUUGUGCAAUUUAGAAACAAAGAUCAAUAUCAGCAUGAAAUAUCUCCUUAACUCUUCACUUUUUGCAUUCAAUCUCAGCUGCCUAUCCGCUAGGGAAGACCAUUAUCAAAAUGACAAAAUACGCAUUUUACUUCUGGCAUUUUGGUUCGGAGAUAUCAUUGUCUUGAACUCUUGAUUUGUUAUUAAUUUACUCUUGUGAUAUUUUAGCCAUCUUUAGGUUGCUUUAUUUUUGGGUUUGUUUGGAUGUAGAAGCAAUUGAGCAGCUUUGUAAGACCAACAUUUUUUUAAUUUAAUUGUGAAAAUUGUGGGGGUUAUA
Molecule: non-coding RNA, 2370 nt
Organism: Arachis ipaensis
Lineage: Eukaryota; Viridiplantae; Streptophyta; Magnoliopsida; Fabales; Fabaceae
Source: RefSeq, a predicted model, not a curated record